RNAcentral lists this ribosomal RNA (498 nucleotides) under uncultured bacterium. RNAcentral describes it as "partial 16S ribosomal RNA". It matches the Rfam family "Bacterial small subunit ribosomal RNA", at positions 30 to 523 of the family's 1533-position model. The record is from RNAcentral.
AUUGAACGCUGGCGGCAUGCCUUACACAUGCAAGUCGAACGGUAACAGGUCUUCGGAUGCUGACGAGUAGCGAACGGGUGAGUAAUACAUCGGAACGUGCCCGAUCGUGGGGGAUAACGAAGCGAAAGCUUUGCUAAUACCGCAUACGAUCUACGGAUGAAAGCAGGGGACCGCAAGGCCUUGCGCGAACGGAGCGGCCGAUGGCAGAUUAGGUAGUGGGUGGGAUAAAAGCUUACCAAGCCGACGAUCUGUAGCUGGUCUGAGAGGACGACCAGCCACACUGGGACUGGGACACGGCCCAGACUCCUACGGGAGGCAGCAGUGGGGAAUUUUGGACAAUGGGCGAAAGCCUGAUCCAGCCAUGCCGCGUGCAGGAUGAAGGCCUUCGGGUUGUAAACUGCUUUUGUACGGAACGAAAAGACUCUGGUUAAUACCUGGGGUCCAUGACGGUACCGUAAGAAUAAGCACCGGCUAACUACGUGCCAGCCGCCGCCGUAA